AUCAACUGGGGAUCUUGUUAAAAUGCAGAUUCCAUUUCAAUAGGUCUCGGGUUGGAUUUGAGAUUCUGCAUUUUUAACAAGCAACCAGGUGAUGCCAA
Molecule: microRNA precursor, 98 nt
Filed under: Ailuropoda melanoleuca (giant panda)
Lineage: Eukaryota; Metazoa; Chordata; Mammalia; Carnivora; Ursidae
Description: mir-544 microRNA precursor family
Rfam family: mir-544 microRNA precursor family
Source: Rfam by way of RNAcentral